This 253-nucleotide ribosomal RNA is filed under the name uncultured bacterium. RNAcentral's name for it is "partial 16S ribosomal RNA". It matches the Rfam family "Bacterial small subunit ribosomal RNA", at positions 524 to 776 of the family's 1533-position model. The record is from RNAcentral.
UACGGAGGGUGCAAGCGUUAUCCGGAUUUACUGGGUUUAAAGGGUGCGUAGGUGGGUUGGUAAGUCAGUGGUGAAAUCUUCGAGCUUAACUCGGAAACUGCCAUUGAUACUAUCAAUCUUGAAUAUCCUGGAGGUAAGCGGAAUAUGUCAUGUAGCGGUGAAAUGCUUAGAUAUGACAUAGAACACCCAUUGCGAAGGCAGCUUACUACAGGGACAUUGACACUGAGGCACGAAAGCGUGGGGAUCAAACAGG